This 886-nucleotide long non-coding RNA is filed under the name Corvus moneduloides (New Caledonian crow). RNAcentral's name for it is "lncRNA (ENSCMUG00000019476.1)". The record is from RNAcentral. Lineage: Eukaryota; Metazoa; Chordata; Aves; Passeriformes; Corvidae.
GGAUGGAUUAUUGGAGUGUGUGAUCCCAUGGACGAGAAAACCUACGUGUGCAGAACAAGCACCACUGCCCUUCUCAGAGUUAAACCCGUCCCAAGCAGAAGGAGGAGCAGAAGAGAAGUGGGGAAGGCUGGAGCAUCGUGGCCGCCCAGAAAACAUUGGAUCCAGUCUGGUCACCCAAAUACCGCCUGCCUGCAGCUUCUGAGCAGAGCUCAGAAAAAAGAAAACCUAUCCAUACUGUGGGUUUGUGUUUGUUUUCCAAGCUCCCCCGUUGAAAUUCCAUGUCAAAGAUGAAGUGGGAUAGUGGCAACAACCAGGAGAGGAGGAAGAAGGAUUCCUACUUCACAUGUGGGAUGGGUGCCACCAGGACACAUCCCUGCAGUUCCAGUCCCAGCACCCUCUCCGGAUUUACAAGUCCCUGGAGCGGAGCAGGGACAGCGGCCGAGAGCCCGGUGCUUUGCCAUCGCUGCUGUGGGCUGGAAUGAGAGGGGGCAGCUGCUGGAGGAUGCUGGAGUCAUUGUGCUGCCGGACAGGCUCUCAUCACGCACAGGAUAAAACCCCAGCUCCUGUGGCCGGGGCCCUGUGGGGUUUCACAGGGCAGCUCCUGCCAGCAAGGCCAGCCGAUGACUACAAGCCAAGUGGCUUCCCUGUCCUGGCAUUCCAGGGACACCUCUGGACCAUGGAUGUUUGCAAAAUGGCUUUUGUUUGCUUAACUCCUUGCACUGGAACAGGCAGAGGCACAGCUCCCACCGUCUUGUCCCUCCUCCACAGGCAGGGACAGGGUGACAAUCCUGCUGCCCAGGGCAGGCAGCUCAGUGCCAGCCCUGCCAUCCCACCCCUGGAAAAAAUAGCACCUUUUGAGUGCGUUAUUUGUACUUUCCUUUUCUGA